CGGGUGAGUAAUACAUCGGAACGUGCCCAUUAGUGGGGAUAACCCGGCGAAAGCCGGACUAAUACCGCAUACGACCUACGGGUGAAAGCAGGGGAUCGCAAGACCUUGCGCUAUUGGAGCGGCCGAUGGCAGAUUAGCUAGUUGGUGGGGUAAAAGCCUACCAAGGCUACGAUCUGUAGCUGGUCUGAGAGGACGACCAGCCACACUGGGACUGAGACACGGCCCAG
This 227-nucleotide ribosomal RNA is filed under the name uncultured bacterium. RNAcentral's name for it is "partial 16S ribosomal RNA". It matches the Rfam family "Bacterial small subunit ribosomal RNA", at positions 103 to 334 of the family's 1533-position model. The record is from RNAcentral.